Nothobranchius furzeri (turquoise killifish) is the source of this 5710-nucleotide non-coding RNA. The record is from RefSeq and is a predicted model, not a curated record. NCBI's taxonomy places the organism in Eukaryota, Metazoa, Chordata, Actinopteri, Cyprinodontiformes, Nothobranchiidae.
UUUUAUUAGUCUUGGUAAAAAUAAUAUAAUAAAAAAAAUGUAUUAUCAAAGCUUUAAUUUAUUUAUAUAUAUAAUUCAUAUCUGCAUUUGAUUUAGAUUUACCUCUUAUGGGCUCGGCACACGGGAGGCGACAAACGACUGCGAUCAGCGAAAUUUGUCGCUGUCGCUUUUAUAUUACCUGACACACGGGAGGCGGCCAAUGGUAAAACUUGGUUUAUGCUUAACGCAUUCACUUUCCGCUUGGUGAUGAUGCGGCUCGGCUUGCAGAUGGAACGCGCUUCACAACUCGCAGCGUUAAAUGCUUGACGCGUCCGCGGGGUCCGCACGGAAAAGUUGCAUCAUUUUAACAACCACGCCCCUCCACCGCGCCUCCGCACGGCCCAAAAUUUCCGCAACACGCACCUGGGAAAUUUUCUAACCACGCAGACGGUCAGACCCAGAAAAACAUGGCGGACCGGCAAGAACUAGUAUGGCAGAGGUUGGUAAAUACAGACAUUUGUAUGAUUCAGCUCUCAGAGAUCACCGUGAUCAACAUGUUGUUAAUAAUUCUUGGAGAGAAAUAGCUCGCACUGUCGGAAAAGACGAGAACGCUGUUAAAAAUGCUGGAAUACCAUGUUGUAAACAGUAAUUUCUACUUCUAUUAUGGUGUAGUGUUGGAUGCAUGCCAUAGAGCUCCAUGCUGCCCCCUACAGUUUGGGAGAAUAUUGGCUCACCGCAGAGACAAGCCGCAUGAACCAUAAACGCUGCGAGUUGUGAAGCGCGUUCCAGCCGCGAGCCGCAUCACCGCGCGGAAAGUGAAUGCGUCAAGCAUAAACCACGCUUUAUGCGGCUCGCGGAUGGAACGCGCUUCACACAAAGUUGAAAAUAUUUCAACUUUCUGGGAUCGCGUCGCUGGGUCGCCUGUGCACGACACGUGCAUGAGCGCAAAAUUUCACACGCACGUUUUCCACGUUUCGCUUAGUAGGAGGGAGACCCGCAAUUAUCGCUUUGUCGCGCAUGUCUCAUUGAAAAUGAAUGGCGGAGAGGGAAUGUCGCCUCCCGUGUGUCGAGCCCAUUACUGUAUCCUCUACACACACACACACACACACACACACACACACACACACACACACACACACACACACACACACACACACACACACACACACACACACACACACACACACACACACACACACACACAAGCCCCAGAUUUCCCUCCCCAGCCACUUGGGUCAGCUCCUCCAGGGGAAUCCCACGGCGUUCCCAUGUUCAAGAGUCCCUCCAGCGAGUCCUGGGUCUACCUUUAGGUCUCCUCCCGGUUGGACGUGCCCGGAAAACCUCACCAGGGAGGUCCAGGAGGCAUCCUGACCAGAUGCCCGAGCCACUUCAGCUGGCUCCUCUAGAUGUGAAGGAGCAGCGGGUCUACUCCGAGCCCCUCCCGGAUGACCGAGCUUCUCACCCUAUCUCUAAGGGAGAGCCCAGACACUCUUCAGAGAAAACUCAUUCCAGCCGCUUGUAUCCGUGAUCUCGUUCUUUCGGUCUCUACCCAAAGCUCAUGACCAUAGGUGAGGGUAGGAACGCAGAUCCACCGGUAAAUCGAGAGCUUUGCCUUCUGACUCAGCUCUCUCUUCACCACGACAGACCGGUAUCCGCUACUCCGAGUUGUAAUCAUAAGAGUUCUUUGUUUCAAACUUUGCCGUCAUCAACUAUUUGCCAUUAAAGUUUAUCACGCGUGUGUUAGCAGCUAGCAACAUACCUUUUGACCAUCCUGACAGAUUUUGACCAAACUUCAGUACAAUUUUAUUGGGUGCUCUUUUUUAAGCUUCUCACCAAUCCAAGAUGGCUGCCACAGCUAACAAAGACAAAAACAUGGCGUUAACGUGAUCAGGUUUACUGGCAUUGUGUUAAAAUGGUGAAAACUGCCCAGUGGAUCGUAGGGAGCCCGCUACCAGAUCUUAUACUCUCAGACUGCAAAGGAAGGCCAAUCGUAUCGCUGCUGAUUCCUCCCACCCAGGUCAGGAACUGUUAGGGUUUGGGUUAGGGUUAGGCUGAAGCAACUAAAACAUAUUAAUUAUGACCAAUAAGAUGUGAUGUUCCAUAUAAAUAUGAACUAUCAACCUGAUAGAUCUUUCAAUGUUUAAUCAGAAGAUUCUAGGGUUCAUUCAGGGAUCAUAAACACACUUCGUAUUAUUUCAGUCAGUAUGUGGUUAAUAAAAUGAAUUUAAUUAUUUUUACUGAACUAAUAAUACAUGACAGAUAUGAAUAAUGAGAUGUGAUGUGAUGGAAGCUAGACGUUAAUCAGAAUCUUUGUAUCUGAGAGAAACUGUGAAAUGUGGCUGUAAAAUAAUUGGUUGUUUAUUUAUAAAAAGCAUCAGACGCAAUCUGUCGUGCCAAGUCUACGCACCCUUGGUGUGGAGGUUCUCGUUCGAUCCGGGGGGUCGACGGUCACUGCCGGUGGAGUGAACUCUGAUAUCAGGAACCUGUAGACGGCUCCGAUAGGACCCGUCCAGUCUGAGAUCCCUCCAGGUGAAGGCAGGAAGCUGGAAUAUUUGGCUCUUAGAGAGCCGGUUGUCUGGUAUCAGCCGCAGCGUUGCAGAGAGGCUUUGUCAGGAGGUCAAAGGAGACGAUGGUUUCAAAAAGGCUUCUUUCCUGAUUUGGCCGGUUCGAGGGUCAGCGAGAAACUCAAUUAAUCAGGAAGUAAUUCUUGUUUUAUUAAACUACUUUGUUGUGGUUUCUGGCCGAGUUUGGCCAAUCAGAAUUUGACACGUUUCUGAUUAUUUACCAACAUCCUUCAGAAAGCCACGCCCUCCUCAGACACAAAGAUGUUUUUAACCUUAAUGAGUAUCUUAUGGUAACGUGUGUGAGUGUAAACAACGAUUCACUUGUUAAAUCAACACACACUGAUUUGUGAUAGAAAUGGAUCGUUGUAAGAACAAUGUUCAUUUCAAAUUCAUAGUUUAAGCACAGAUUAUUCAAACAUUUCAUUUAAACAUCUUGUUCAUUCAUCACAUCUGAUUAUUUAACGUAUAACUGUAACAUCGUGGAGUCUUCACUUGUUCAGAGUGAAGAAUGAUGACGUCUGGCGUUCAGAGAGAGUGCAGGAACCUUGGGAGAGAAUGUUUGUCUUCAUUAGUCAGCACGCGCUGAGCAGAACCUUCUGGAUUUAGAAGGCCACAGAAAGUGGAUUUAUGCUGUGGAUAAAAGGUUAUGUUGGCCAAUAUAAAGGAGAAAAUCAACCCUUUUGGACGUUAUAACCCCCCUUUCCAAGGUCAAGGGGUCAUGGCAGAAGACCACGACAACGGACCAAGCGGGAGAGAAACCUCCAAACCAGCAGAGGACCUCAUCAGGGCUACGCCUCAGCUCCUAGAGGACGUGGGGAUCCAGAGUCCAUCGCCACCACAACACUCACACCAGAUUUAGUUUUUGGGGACAGCAGCAGCUCAGGAGGUGGUGCUCACCGAGGAGGAGGCCCAUGUGUGGAAAAGGCCAAACACCCGUAGCUCACUGAUCCCUGCAGAGGAACCGGGAAGGCUGCAGGAGAUUCCCAGGACCGUCACCUCACAGCUUAGAGGGGCGCAGGAGAGAACGGCCACCAAGAAAAGAGUGCAGCGGCAGAGAAGACUUUCAGGUGGUUGUGGAUCAGAAGCAGUGAGCUGUGGUGUAGCGUGCUGCUUGGACUGCUGGGUCACCAGGAACCUGGCCUCGUCACCGACCACGCUGCAGUAGGUCAUGUUUGAACUGUCAAAUGAUGACAAUGUCUGACGAUCUGGAACAUGUCCACUGUGCUACUGAGAGCUGAGCCAGCACACGUUCUUCACUUCUGGAGACAGAUGUUUGUAGAGCUGAAGCUAAACCCACAGCUACGUUAGCAUCAGCCUUCUUCACAGUAAACUCAAAUCCUCUUCAGCAUCACAGAAAACGACGUCACUUCUCUUGUCUGAGCAGCACACGCCGUCCCGUGGUGACAGGACCCCCCCGUCGCUCUGACACCUGCAGAGCUUCAAAAGCUCCACCUCCAAGGCCUCUCAGAGGAAGUGCUAAAAAUACAACUGUGCCGCAAACGCUGUGUGGAAACACUCUUCUUCUGGGUUUCCACCCAUGGCUGCAUCAGAAAAGCAGUGAGUCGGUGCAGAGAAAACCAGAAAGAUUCAGAUGUUCUCAUCGUCCAAAUUUAAACCCAGAUGCUGUUGGAGGAUCUGGUGAAGACCAUCAGCUCUGGUUCCUCCCAAGGUCUGCAGAGGCACACCAGCUGGGACUCCAGGGGCUACAGCGCACAAAGUGCAUCACUGCCGCGAGGCGCGUGCAGCCCCGUCAGCCGAGAGGAGAUGACACCACGCACGUUCCCACAAUGGUUGAUAGCAGCAGCAUCAUCUGACCCACCUGGUGAAGUGCACCGUCAGAUUUAGCUCAGAAAAAUUCCCUCCGCUGCUGCUCUGCAACGUUGAUGUUUUAUCUCCACCAAUAACACGAGCCUGGAGGAGUUCUGCUGUGUGGUGGAGUUGCUAAUGCUAACAGUUAGCUUCUACUAGCUGAGACGUUCUCUGAUGUUUCCUGGACGCUAAACCAACAGCAGCUUCCCAUCGUGAGUCCAGAUAGGUGAGUCCAUGAAUGUUAGUGACAGGGUGACGUAGAUCUGUCAGGAUUUUCUAUCCUAGACUUUCGCUGUCUGUUUUCUAUCAGAAGCUGCUGCAGGAGGUAGGUGUAGGAGACUAUCUUCUAUCAGAAGCUGCUGCAGGAGGUAGGUGUAGGAGUAUUUAUAGAUUUAGGGAAAGCUUUUGACACUAUAGAUCACCAUAUUUUAUUUCAGAAAUUGGAACAGUUUGGUGUUAGAGAUAUUUCACGAGACUGGGUGAAAAGUUAUAUGACUAAACGUGAACAUGUGCAGAUGAAUGAAUUCAGUUUAAAGGGACUUUACAGAGUUUUGAGUUUUUAUGCUCGCGAUCGCCCCCUCAGGCCAAAAGCAUAACGGCAGCUUCAAUAGUAGGCUCGUGCACGAGGUGCGCAUGCUGUACGUGCACACUCCUUAACGAAAAUAACAGCUGAGACAGUCCCUUGUGUGUGUGUGUGUGGCCCGGAGGACCGAGGACAGGAGAGCGAGCGGCUAAUUAAUUAAAUAAUGUGGUUCUGUUGCUUUCUCUUCAGCACAGCCGACAAAGGUUUAUGAUGGGUCAGUCCUCCUGCAUGCUCAGAUCAUUCCCUUCCCUUGCUUGAAAAAUUGUUCCAAAAUGAAAGUUGAACCCACAUCUUUUUCAUCUGUGAAUUCAAAGCCGUUGGGCGAGUCUCAAAUACAAAUUUGGGCAUCUUACUGUAAAAAUAUACCAUUAAUGUAAAAAAGAAACUCUAAAUGAACUAUGUUCACAUCCAGAAUCAAACCCGGGUAUUUUGCACGAGAGUCAGAUGUCUUACAAGGUGAGCUAAAUCACCAGUAACAUCAUUUGUAUCUGUAACAUUUAUAUCCUUGAUGACAGCUGAAACAACGUCAAACCAAAGGACGGUUCGGAGUGAAAAUGGCUAUUUUGUUGCUAAUUAGCAGGAAAUAUCUAGAAGAAAGCUCUACAGAAAGUAGCUAAGGGUCCUCAGAAAUGUAGCUAGCUUUGUCACUAGGCGUUAGGAACAGCGACAAAGUGGCACUGCCUCUCUCUCUGCUGCUAAAGCUACGGAUAGCAAAUGCUACGGGCGAUGCCUGAGCGUGAACGCGCAUGAAGCAGCCUGCUCGACCCGAGCAUCU